CAGUCGAACGAUGAAAGUCGUUUUGAUAUCUUCGGAUUGAUAAACUUCUGGAUUAGUGGCGGACGGGUGAGUAACGCGUGAGCAAUCUGCCUUACACAAAGGGAUAGCCUCGGGAAACCGGGAUUAAUACCAUAUGAUAUCUACAAGCCGCAUGGCCUAUAGAUUAAAGAAUUUCGGUGUAAGAUGAGCUCGCGUCCCAUUAAUUAGUUGGUGAGGGUAACGGCCCACCAAGAUAGCGAUGGGUAGCCGAUCUAAGAGGAUGACCGGCCACAUUGGAACUGAGAAACGGUCCAAACUCCUACGGGAGGCAGCAGUGGGGAAUAUUGCACAAUGGGGGAAACCCUGAUGCAGCGACGCCGCGUGAGCGAUGAAGGCUUUCGAGUCGUAAAGCUCUGUCCUAUGGGAAGAUAAUGACGGUACCAUAGAAGAAAGCCCCGGCUAAUUACGUGCCAGCAGCCGCGGUAAUACGUAAGGGGCGAGCGUUGUCCGGAAUUAUUGGGCGUAAAGAGUGCGUAGGCGGCAAAUUAAGUCAGAUGUGAAAACUAAGGGCUCAACCCAUAGAUUGCAUCUGAAACUGAUAUGCUUGAGUCAAGGAGAGGAAAGUGGAAUUCCUAGUGUAGCGGUGGAAUGCGUAGAUAUUAGGAGGAAUACCGGUGGCGAAGGCGACUUUCUGGACUUGAACUGACGCUGAGGCACGAAAGCGUGGGGAGCAAACAGGAUUAGAUACCCUGGUAGUCCACGCCGUANACGAUGAGUGCUAGGUGUC
Molecule: ribosomal RNA, 766 nt
Filed under: uncultured bacterium
Lineage: Bacteria
Description: bacterial SSU rRNA
Rfam family: Bacterial small subunit ribosomal RNA
Source: RNAcentral